CAAGGGCGUAUAUUAAAGUUGUUGCGGUUAAAAGCUUGUAGUUUGAUUUCUGCCGAGGACGACCGGUCCACCCUCUGGGUGAGCAUCUGGCUCGGUCUGGGCAUCUUCUUGGAGAACGUAGCUGCACUUGACUGUGUGGUGAAGUAUCCAGGACUUUUACUUUGAGGAAAUUAGAGUGUUUCAACCAGAUACACACCCUGAAUACAUUACCAUGGAAUAAUAAGAUAGGACUUCGGUUCUAUUUUGUUGGUUUCUAGAGCUGAGGUAAUGAUUAAUAGGAUAGUUGGGACAUUCGUAUUUAACGGUCAGAGGUGAAAUUCUUGGAUUUGUUAAAGACAGACUACUGCGAAAGCAUUUGCCAAGGAUGUUUUCCUUGAUCAAGAACGAAAGUUAGGGGAUCGAAGACGAUCAGAUACCAU
This 419-nucleotide ribosomal RNA is filed under the name uncultured eukaryote. RNAcentral describes it as "SSU rRNA". It matches the Rfam family "Eukaryotic small subunit ribosomal RNA", at positions 592 to 1018 of the family's 1831-position model. The record is from RNAcentral.